This 460-nucleotide ribosomal RNA is filed under the name uncultured bacterium. RNAcentral describes it as "partial 16S ribosomal RNA". It matches the Rfam family "Bacterial small subunit ribosomal RNA", at positions 338 to 795 of the family's 1533-position model. The record is from RNAcentral.
CCUACGGGUGGCAGCAGUGGGGAAUAUUGGUCAAUGGGCGUAAGCCUGAACCAGCCACGUCGCGUGAGGGAUGAAGGUUCUAUGUAUCGUAAACCUCUUUUAUAGGGGAAUAAAGUGCGGGACGUGUCCCGUUUUGUAUGUACCUUAUGAAUAAGGAUCGGCUAACUCCGUGCCAGCGGCCGCGGUAAUACGGAGGAUCCGAGCGUUAUCCGGAUUUAUUGGGUUUAAAGGGUGCGUAGGCGGCCUUGUAAGUCAGCGGUGAAAGUCUGUGGCUUAACCAUUGAAUUGCCGUGGAAACUGGGCGGCUUGAGUAUGGUGGAGGUAGGCGGAAUGCGUGGUGUAGCGGUGAAAUGCUGAGAUAUUACGCAGAACCCCGAUUGCGAAGGCAGCCUGCCAAGCCAUGACUGACGCUGAGGCACGAAAGCGUGGGGAUCAAACAGGAUUAGAUACCCGAGUAGUC